This 253-nucleotide ribosomal RNA is filed under the name uncultured bacterium. Its description in RNAcentral is "partial 16S ribosomal RNA". It matches the Rfam family "Bacterial small subunit ribosomal RNA", at positions 524 to 776 of the family's 1533-position model. The record is from RNAcentral.
UACGGAGGAUCCAAGCGUUAUCCGGAAUCAUUGGGUUUAAAGGGUCCGUAGGCGGUUUAGUAAGUCAGUGGUGAAAGCCCAUCGCUCAACGGUGGAACGGCCAUUGAUACUGCUAGACUUGAAUUAUUAGGAAGUAACUAGAAUAUGUAGUGUAGCGGUGAAAUGCUUAGAGAUUACAUGGAAUACCAAUUGCGAAAGCAGGUUACUACUAAUGGAUUGACGCUGAUGGACGAAAGCGUGGGUAGCGAACAGG